Molecule: ribosomal RNA, 508 nt
Filed under: uncultured marine eukaryote
Lineage: Eukaryota
Description: SSU rRNA
Rfam family: Eukaryotic small subunit ribosomal RNA
Source: RNAcentral
AACCUGGUUGAUCCUGCCAGUAGUCAUAUGCUUGUCUUAAAGAUUAAGCCAUGCAUGUCUAAGUAUAAAUAGUAUACAGUGAAACUGCGAAUGGCUCAUUAAAACAGUUAUAGUUUAUUUGAUAAUUGAAUGCUACAUGGAUAACCGUGGUAAUUCUAGAGCUAAUACAUGCUGUAAAACCUGACUUUUUGAAAGGUUGUAUUUAUUAGAUACCAAACCAAUAUUCCUUCGGGUCUAUUGUGAUGAUUCAUAAUAACUGAUCGGAGCGAAUUCCAUUCGCUAAAUCAUUCAAGUUUCUGCCCUAUCAGCUUUCGAUGGUAGUGUAUUGGACUACCAUGGCAGUCACGGGUAACGGGGAAUUAGGGUUCGAUUCCGGAGAGGGAGCCUGAGAAACGGCUACCACUUCUAAGGAAGGCAGCAGGCGCGUAAAUUACCCAAUCCUGACUCAGGGAGGUAGUGACAAGAAAUAACGAAUCGGGGCCUCACGGCUUACGAUAUUGCAAUGAGA